RNAcentral lists this ribosomal RNA (301 nucleotides) under uncultured bacterium. Its description in RNAcentral is "partial 16S ribosomal RNA". It matches the Rfam family "Bacterial small subunit ribosomal RNA", at positions 509 to 807 of the family's 1533-position model. The record is from RNAcentral.
CAGUCGCCACGGGAAUACGAAGGGGGCUAGCGUUGCUCGGAAUGACUGGGCGUAAAGGGCGCGUAGGCGGAUUGUUUAGUUAGGCGUGAAAUUCCUGGGCUUAACCUGGGGACUGCGCUUAAUACAGGCAGUCUAGAGUGAGGAAGAGGGUUGUGGAAUUCCCAGUGUAGAGGUGAAAUUCGUAGAUAUUGGGAAGAACACCGGUGGCGAAGGCGGCGACCUGGUCCUUGACUGACGCUGAGGCGCGAAAGCGUGGGGAGCAAACAGGAUUAGAGACCCCUGUAGUCCCUGUCUCUUAUAC